CCUACGGGUGGCAGCAGUGAGGAAUAUUGGUCAAUGGACGCAAGUCUGAACCAGCCAUGCCGCGUGCAGGAAGACGGCUCUAUGAAUUGUAAACUUCUUUUGUACGGGGAUAAACGCAGGUACUUGUAUCUGUCUGAAAGUAUCUUACGAAUAAGGAUCGGCUAACUCCGUGCCAGCAGCCGCGGUAAUACGGAGGAUUCAAGCGUUAUCCGGAUUUAUUGGGUUUAAAGGGUGCGUAGGCGGUCGGAUAAGUUAGAGGUGAAAUCCCGAGGCUCAACUUCGGAAUUGCCUCUGAUACUGUCCGGCUAGAGAGGAGGUGCGGUAGGCGGAAUGUAUGGUGUAGCGGUGAAAUGCUUAGAGAUCAUACAGAACACCGAUUGCGAAGGCAGCUUACCAAGCUAAUUCUGACGCUGAGGCACGAAAGCGUGGGGAGCAAACAGGAUUAGAUACCCCAGUAGUC
This 460-nucleotide ribosomal RNA is filed under the name uncultured bacterium. RNAcentral describes it as "partial 16S ribosomal RNA". It matches the Rfam family "Bacterial small subunit ribosomal RNA", at positions 338 to 795 of the family's 1533-position model. The record is from RNAcentral.